This 530-nucleotide ribosomal RNA is filed under the name uncultured bacterium. RNAcentral's name for it is "bacterial SSU rRNA". It matches the Rfam family "Bacterial small subunit ribosomal RNA", at positions 355 to 896 of the family's 1533-position model. The record is from RNAcentral.
UGGGGAAUAUUGCACAAUGGGCGGAAGCCUGAUGCAGCGACGCCGCGUGGGGGAUGAAGGCCUUCGGGUUGUAAACUCCCUUCGACAGGGACGAAGCUUUUGUGACGGUACCUGUAUAAGAAGCACCGGCUAACUACGUGCCAGCAGCCGCGGUAAUACGUAGGGUGCGAGCGUUGUCCGGAAUUACUGGGCGUAAAGAGCUCGUAGGUGGUUUGUCGCGUCGUCUGUGAAAUUCCGGGGCUUAACUCCGGGCGUGCAGGCGAUACGGGCUGACUUGAGUGCUGUAGGGGAGACUGGAAUUCCUGGUGUAGCGGUGAAAUGCGCAGAUAUCAGGAGGAACACCGAUGGCGAAGGCAGGUCUCUGGGCAGUAACUGACGCUGAGGAGCGAAAGCAUGGGUAGCGAACAGGAUUAGAUACCCUGGUAGUCCGUGCCGUAAACGGUGGGCGCUAGGUGUAGGGGGCUUCCACGUCUUCUGUGCCGUAGCUAACGCAUUAAGCGCCCCGCCUGGGGAGUACGGCCGCAAGGCUA